CAAGAUGCUCCACUGAGAAAAGAAAAUGCUUUAUAUUAUUGUACUUAAAGUAGAUGUUUUGGCUUUUCAUGUUUUACUUUUGUAAAAAGAAUAUAUUCCUUUCCUGUAGCUUUCUCAUGCGUAUGCAUAUGAGAUAAGCAUAGUAGUCUUUGAUCAGAUAAGAAUGCCAUGUGGCAAGAGUUUGUGGUUUGUAAGCUUAUCCAGACGAUUCUCCCUUCUCCUAUAUAAAGGAGGGUUCGUCUCUCUUGUAAAUCAAGUUGUGUGAGAAUAAACCCUUAUUUCCUCAUGCUGUAAACUCAAGGCAGGAGAGUAUCUUUACUCAAGGCAAGAGAGUUUCCUCAAGCUAAGACCAAAGAGGCACCUCGCCAUGGGGCUCUUUCUGCUCUUUUGGAUCUCAAAUAGCCGAGUUAGCCUUUUUGGAUUAUAACAUAAAUAGAUCGUAGCAACAGUUAGUUCAUUGCCAUUGUAUAGAGAAGAAGAAUAGAGAGAAAUUAGAAAGCCAUGACAGAUAAGAGAGAAAUAAGGGUUUAUUCUCACACAACUUGAUUUACAAGAGAGACGAACCCUCCUUUAUAUAGGAGAAGGGAGAAUCGUCUGGAUAAGCUUACAAACCACAAACUCUUGCCACAUGGCAUUCUUAUCUGAUCAAAGACUACUAUGCUUAUCUCAUAUGCAUACGCAUGAGAAAGCUACAGGAAAGGAAUAUAUUCUUUUUACAAAAGUAAAACAUGAAAAGCCAAAACAUCUACUUUAAGUACAAUAAUAUAAAGCAUUUUCUUUUCUCAGUGGAGCAUCUUGCUUUUGUGAGUGGCUUAUCUGGUUAUUACCAAAUACGCUUAUUGAUGGGCUCAUGCUCUGAAUAGUCAUCAUCAGAGUCGUCUGACUCACUUAUGCUAUAGUUGCGCAUGCGUCGUGAUGGGCCAGGUGUGUCAGAUGGAUGGAACCGAGGAGAUUUACGUGGCGUCUCUUGAGACAAUAGUUAUGAAUCUGAUGGAAGAGGUUCUUCUAGCUGUGACCAUGGCUCUUGGAAAGUUGGGUUUAUCUCCAUUGCUGACGUAUCUUCAUUUUGCUGGCUGGAUGAAGUUGAAGGUGUUGAGGAAGUAGGAGUGAACAGACGUCUUUGAUCUGAAGGUUUUCUGUGCAUGUUGAUUACUGGAAAUACUUCAUUAGUUGUAUGAUUGAGUUUAUU
RNAcentral lists this long non-coding RNA (1189 nucleotides) under Ricinus communis (castor bean). RNAcentral describes it as "long non-coding RNA (RCOM_LNC003499)". The record is from RNAcentral. Lineage: Eukaryota; Viridiplantae; Streptophyta; Magnoliopsida; Malpighiales; Euphorbiaceae.